GUGAGGAAUAUUGGUCAAUGGGCGGGAGCCUGAACCAGCCAAGUCGCGUGAAGGAAGAAGGAUCUAUGGUUCGUAAACUUCUUUUGCAGGGGAAUAAAGUGCAGGACGUGUCCUGUUUUGUAUGUACCCUGAGAAUAAGGAUCGGCUAACUCCGUGCCAGCAGCCGCGGUAAUACGGAGGAUCCGAGCGUUAUCCGGAUUUAUUGGGUUUAAAGGGUGCGUAGGUGGUUUGAUAAGUCAGCGGUGAAAGUUUGCAGCUUAACUGUAAAAAUGCCGUUGAAACUGUCGGACUUGAGUGUAAAUGAGGUAGGCGGAAUGCGUUGUGUAGCGGUGAAAUGCAUAGAUAUCACGCAGAACUCCGAUUGCGAAGGCAGCUUACUAAGCUACAACUGACACUGAAGCACGAAAGCGUGGGGAUCAAACAGGAUUAGAAAACCGAGUAGUCC
RNAcentral lists this ribosomal RNA (445 nucleotides) under uncultured bacterium. RNAcentral's name for it is "partial 16S ribosomal RNA". It matches the Rfam family "Bacterial small subunit ribosomal RNA", at positions 354 to 796 of the family's 1533-position model. The record is from RNAcentral.